GGGUUGUGUUGUUUCUGAAGAGGAGACGAUUGGGGAAGAUGGAUGACACGACAAUUUUUUGAUGACGUAAGCGACUCAAAGGAUGAGAACUUUUCAUCCCUUAAAUCAAAAAUAACAAACAAACGUGACCGCUAGAUUAAAUUUUUAUUUUCCUAUAAAAAUGAUGAUGUCAUUGAUCACAAAAAAAUGGUUUACUGUUAUAUAUAGAUAUAAUACAUUUAGACCAAAAAUCAUUUCUAUUUUAAAAUUUUU
Molecule: long non-coding RNA, 252 nt
Filed under: Brassica napus (rape)
Lineage: Eukaryota; Viridiplantae; Streptophyta; Magnoliopsida; Brassicales; Brassicaceae
Description: long non-coding RNA (BNAP_LNC009188)
Source: RNAcentral